This 433-nucleotide ribosomal RNA is filed under the name uncultured bacterium. RNAcentral's name for it is "partial 16S ribosomal RNA". It matches the Rfam family "Bacterial small subunit ribosomal RNA", at positions 36 to 507 of the family's 1533-position model. The record is from RNAcentral.
CUCUCCCUCUUUCUUCAGGCUUAACACAUGCAAGUCGAGCGGGCCCUUCGGGGUCAGCGGCAGACGGGUGAGUAACACGUGGGAACGUACCCUUUGGUUCGGAAUAACGCUGGGAAACUAGCGCUAAUACCGGAUACGCCCUUUUGGGGAAAGGCUUGCUGCCGAAGGAUCGGCCCGCGUCUGAUUAGCUAGUUGGUGGGGUAAUGGCCUACCAAGGCGACGAUCAGUAGCUGGUCUGAGAGGAUGAUCAGCCACACUGGGACUGAGACACGGCCCAGACUCCUACGGGAGGCAGCAGUGGGGAAUAUUGGACAAUGGGCGCAAGCCUGAUCCAGCCAUGCCGCGUGAGUGAUGAAGGCCUUAGGGUUGUAAAGCUCUUUUGUCCGGGACGAUAAUGACGGUACCGGAAGAAUAAGCCCCGGCUAACUUCGUG